Molecule: ribosomal RNA, 407 nt
Filed under: uncultured bacterium
Lineage: Bacteria
Description: partial 16S ribosomal RNA
Rfam family: Bacterial small subunit ribosomal RNA
Source: RNAcentral
AUUGAACGCUGGCGGCAGGCCUAACACAUGCAAGUCGAGCGGAGCGGCGGACGGGUGAGCAAUGCCUAGGAACCUGCCUGGUAGUGGGGGAUAACGUCCGGAAACGGGCGCUAAUACCGCAUACUAUCAGAUGAGCCUAGGUCGGAUUAGCUAGUUGGUGGGGUGAAGGCAUACCACGGCGACGAUCCGUAACUGGUCCGAGGGGAUGAUCAGUCACCCUACAACGGAGAUGAGAUCCGGUCUCCUACCACAGGCAGCAGUGAGGAGUAUUGGACUAGGGGCUGGAGCCUAGUCCUACCAUGCCGAGUAUGGUAAAAAGUUCUUCGGAUUGUGGUGCACUUGAAGUUGUGUGGCUUUACCAACAGAAUAAGCACCGGCUAACUUCGUGCCAGCCGCCGCGGUAAUUC